UGGAGAGUUUGAUCCUGGCUCAGGACGAACGCUGGCGGCGUGCUUAACACAUGCAAGUCGAACGGAAAGGCCCCUUCGGGGGUACUCGAGUGGCGAACGGGUGAGUAACACGUGGGUAAUCUGCCCUGCACUUCGGGAUAAGCCUGGGAAACUGGGUCUAAUACCGGAUAUGACCACGAGGCGCAUGCCUUGUGGUGGAAAGCUUUUGCGGUGUGGGAUGGGCCCGCGGCCUAUCAGCUUGUUGGUGGGGUGACGGCCUACCAAGGCGACGACGGGUAGCCGGCCUGAGAGGGUGUCCGGCCACACUGGGACUGAGAUACGGCCCAGACUCCUACGGGAGGCAGCAGUGGGGAAUAUUGCACAAUGGGCGCAAGCCUGAUGCAGCGACGCCCGCGUGGGGGAUGACGGCCUUCGGGUUGUAAACCUCUUUCAGCAGGGACGAAGCGCAAGUGACGGUACCUGCAGAAGAAGCACCGGCCAACUACGUGCCAGCAGCCGCGGUA
RNAcentral lists this ribosomal RNA (503 nucleotides) under Mycobacterium simiae. Its description in RNAcentral is "bacterial SSU rRNA". It matches the Rfam family "Bacterial small subunit ribosomal RNA", at positions 1 to 522 of the family's 1533-position model. The record is from RNAcentral. Lineage: Bacteria; Bacillati; Actinomycetota; Actinomycetes; Mycobacteriales; Mycobacteriaceae.